RNAcentral lists this ribosomal RNA (490 nucleotides) under uncultured bacterium. Its description in RNAcentral is "partial 16S ribosomal RNA". It matches the Rfam family "Bacterial small subunit ribosomal RNA", at positions 30 to 507 of the family's 1533-position model. The record is from RNAcentral.
AUUGAACGCUGGCGGCAGGCCUAACACAUGCAAGUCGAACGGUAACAGGAAGAAGCAUGCUUCUUUGCUGACGAGUGGCGGACGGGUGAGUAAUGUCUGGGAAACUGCCUGAUGGAGGGGGAUAACUACUGGAAACGGUAGCUAAUACCGCAUAACGUCGCAAGACCAAAGAGGGGGACCUUCGGGCCUCUUGCCAUCGGAUGUGCCCAGAUGGGAUUAGCUAGUAGGUGGGGUAACGGCUCACCUAGGCGACGAUCCCUAGCUGGUCUGAGAGGAUGACCAGCCACACUGGAACUGAGACACGGUCCAGACUCCUACGGGAGGCAGCAGUGGGGAAUAUUGCACAAUGGGCGCAAGCCUGAUGCAGCCAUGCCGCGUGUAUGAAGAAGGCCUUCGGGUUGUAAAGUACUUUCAGCGGGGAGGAAGGGAGUAAAGUUAAUACCUUUACUCAUUGACGUUACCCGCAGAAGAAGCACCGGCUAACUCCGUG